This 30-nucleotide non-coding RNA is filed under the name Homo sapiens (human). The record is from RNAcentral. Lineage: Eukaryota; Metazoa; Chordata; Mammalia; Primates; Hominidae.
UAAGUGCUCAAGGACAUUCGCAAAUACCUG